UUAAAAGCUAUGAAGGAAAAUAGUAAAAAAUAUUUUUGUAUUCAGAGAGUGAGUGGUUGGUGUGAACUCAUUGCAAUGAUUUUUGAAUCCAUUCCAGAGCUUCUAGUCGGAAAUAAUAGUAAGAUUAGACGUAUACCUACGUUACAGGAUUGAGAGGACUAUACAUAUACUGUAUGGUCAAUUAGGGUGGCAACGCGGAUUAAAGACUUUCGUCCCUUUU
This 220-nucleotide non-coding RNA is filed under the name Romboutsia ilealis. Its description in RNAcentral is "T-box". It matches the Rfam family "T-box leader". From Rfam's summary of the family: Uncharged tRNA acts as the effector for transcription antitermination of genes in the T-box leader family. The record is from RNAcentral. Lineage: Bacteria; Bacillati; Bacillota; Clostridia; Peptostreptococcales; Peptostreptococcaceae.